UACGUAGGGCGCAAGCGUUGUCCGGAAUUAUUGGGCGUAAGGAGCUCGUAGGCGGUUUGUCGCGUCUGCUGUGAAAACUCGAGGCUCAACCUCGGGCUUGCAGUGGGUACGGGCAGACUAGAGUGCGGUAGGGGUGACUGGAAUUCCUGGUGUAGCGGUGAAAUGCGCAGAUAUCAGGAGGAACACCGAUGGCGAAGGCAGGUCUCUGGGCCACUACUGACGCUGAGAAGCGAAAGCAUGGGGAGCGAACAGG
This 253-nucleotide ribosomal RNA is filed under the name uncultured bacterium. Its description in RNAcentral is "partial 16S ribosomal RNA". It matches the Rfam family "Bacterial small subunit ribosomal RNA", at positions 524 to 776 of the family's 1533-position model. The record is from RNAcentral.